UGGGGAAUUUUGCACAAUGGGGGAAACCCUGAUGCAGCGACGCCGCGUGAUUUAGAAGGCAUUCGGGUUGUAAAAAUCUUUUCUAUGGGAAGAAAAUGACAGUACAAUAGGAAUAAGGACCGGCUAAUUACGUGCCAGCAGCCGCGGUAAUACGUAAGGUCCGAGCGUUGUCCGGAAUCAUUGGGCGUAAAGGGUACGUAGGCGGGUAAGCAAGUUAGAAGUGAAAUCCUAUAGCUCAACUAUAGUAAGCUUUUAAAACUGCUCAUCUUGAGGUAUGGAAGGGAAAGUGGAAUUCCUAGUGUAGCGGUGAAAUGCGCAGAUAUUAGGAGGAAUACCGGUGACGAAGACGACUUUCUGGCCAUAACCUGACGCGGAGGUACGAAAGCGUGGGUAGCAAACAUG
RNAcentral lists this ribosomal RNA (402 nucleotides) under Fusobacteriota bacterium. Its description in RNAcentral is "Fusobacteria bacterium partial 16S ribosomal RNA". It matches the Rfam family "Bacterial small subunit ribosomal RNA", at positions 355 to 776 of the family's 1533-position model. Lineage: Bacteria; Fusobacteriati; Fusobacteriota. The record is from RNAcentral.